RNAcentral lists this ribosomal RNA (448 nucleotides) under uncultured bacterium. Its description in RNAcentral is "bacterial SSU rRNA". It matches the Rfam family "Bacterial small subunit ribosomal RNA", at positions 328 to 793 of the family's 1533-position model. The record is from RNAcentral.
ACUCCAGACUCCUACGGGAGGCAGCAGUGGGGAAUAUUGCACAAUGGGGGAAACCCUGAUGCAGCGACGCCGCGUGAGUGAAGAAGUCUUUCGGUAUGUAAAGCUCUAUCAGCAGGGAAGAAAAUGACGGUACCUGAUUAAGAAGCCCCGGCUAACUACGUGCCAGCAGCCGCGGUAAUACGUAGGGGGCAAGCGUUAUCCGGAUUUACUGGGUGUAAAGGGAGCGUAGACGGUGAUGCAAGUCAGAAGUGAAAGCCCGGGGCUCAACUCCGGGACUGCUUUUGAAACUGUGUAACUGGAGUGCAGGAGAGGUAAGCGGAAUUCCUGGUGUAGCGGUGAAAUGCGUAGAUAUCAGGAGGAACACCGGUGGCGAAGGCGGCCUGCUGGACUGCAACUGACGUUGAGGCCCGAAAGCGUGGGGAGCAAACAGGAUUAGAUACCCUGGUAA